Molecule: ribosomal RNA, 649 nt
Filed under: Microbacterium sp.
Lineage: Bacteria; Bacillati; Actinomycetota; Actinomycetes; Micrococcales; Microbacteriaceae
Description: bacterial SSU rRNA
Rfam family: Bacterial small subunit ribosomal RNA
Source: RNAcentral
AUUUUUUGGUCAGGGAUGAGCUCGCGGCCUAUCAGCUUGUUGGUGAGGUAAUGGCUCACCAAGGCGUCGACGGGUAGCCGGCCUGAGAGGGUGACCGGCCACACUGGGACUGAGACACGGCCCAGACUCCUACGGGAGGCAGCAGUGGGGAAUAUUGCACAAUGGGCGCAAGCCUGAUGCAGCAACGCCGCGUGAGGGAUGACGGCCUUCGGGUUGUAAACCUCUUUUAGCAGGGAAGAAGCGAAAGUGACGGUACCUGCAGAAAAAGCGCCGGCUAACUACGUGCCAGCAGCCGCGGUAAUACGUAGGGCGCAAGCGUUAUCCGGAAUUAUUGGGCGUAAAGAGCUCGUAGGCGGUUUGUCGCGUCUGCUGUGAAAUCCCGAGGCUCAACCUCGGGUCUGCAGUGGGUACGGGCAGACUAGAGUGCGGUAGGGGAGAUUGGAAUUCCUGGUGUAGCGGUGGAAUGCGCAGAUAUCAGGAGGAACACCGAUGGCGAAGGCAGAUCUCUGGGCCGUAACUGACGCUGAGGAGCGAAAGGGUGGGGAGCAAACAGGCUUAGAUACCCUGGUAGUCCACCCCGUAAACGUUGGGAACUAGUUGUGGGGUCCAUUCCACGGAUUCCGUGACGCAGCUAACGCAUUAAGUCCCC